This is an RNA transcript of Solea senegalensis (Senegalese sole), 6856 nucleotides long. It is a transcript of the gene named signal-induced proliferation-associated 1 like 1, with no coding region annotated. The record is from RefSeq and is a predicted model, not a curated record. NCBI's taxonomy places the organism in Eukaryota, Metazoa, Chordata, Actinopteri, Pleuronectiformes, Soleidae. The transcript has 26 exons.
UUGAACAACACCGAGAGGCGGACGACAGAGGGACAGAGAGACACGCUGAGAGACAGAGAGAGAGAGGGAGGCAGCAACGGCAGGGGAGACGAAAGUGGAGAAGCCACAGAGGUUUUCUAUCACACAAUACACUUACUCUCGGUUUGUUUGUGCCUGUAACGGCAGCGAAUGGUUGUGUUUGACGGCUUCGAAGCAGCGAGCUUUAUUUUUUCACCCCCUCUGGAAAACGCGGACAAGGUGGAAAUGAAUAAAGGCGAACCUUCUCUGACGACAGCCACACAAGUGGAGGAAACGGAGGCGCGGGAUUAAAGGAAGACGUAUCCUGGUCAUUGUUCGCUGCUGCUGGAAGGGGAUUCCUCUCUGAUUUUUUUUUUUUGUACUACUCGAAAGUUUGGAAAGCCGUCAUCUGUUUGCAUUGCAGGUACACAGACAGGUCCAUGCUGAAUGAUUUCCGAAGCAGACUGCCUUUUUGAGUCUUCGGCCUUGAAAGCUCACUUCUAACAAGCUCCAGCUACAGAAAGGUCCAAAUGUGUCCAUGAGACUCUCUCAUCACUUCAAUCAGUGGGUAUUAUGUUAACCCUAAUUUAAACCCAUUUGUACCCCAUCCCCACCUUUCCCUCCCACCUCCUCUCCCUGUGCCCUCUCCCGUCUCCAUCAUGACCAGUCUGAAGCGUUCUCAGACAGAGCGCUCAGUCGGGGGCACAGUGCCCGCAUCUGACGAGUUCUACACUCGCCGCCUGAGACUUCCCAAUGGAGGAGCGCCCCCUCCCCGUAGCGAGAGCGCCCACAUUUCCUCUUCCUCCACCACUGGCACCAACCCUGGCGUGCCCAAGAUGGGUGUGAGGGCUCGCGUGGCUGACUGGCCACCCAGGAAGGAUGGGAGUGGAGGAGGUGUUUGGCAUAUUACUGUGGAAACAGACUCACCCAGCUCCACCAACACCACCAGCUCUUCUGGGUCUGGAUCUGGAUCUGGAUCUGGAAGCGGAGAUAGAGAAAGACUAAGUGGAGGUGGAGGAGGAAGUGGAAGUGGAAGUGGUGGUGGUGGUGGUAGUAGCAGUGGAGGUGGAGGUGUGUCAGCUGUCUCAGCCCACAGCAAUCUGUCAGCUAAAUUGGGCCACCUAAUAAGCCCACAGGACUCAUCCAUGCUGCGCAACAUCCAGAACACACUAAAGAACAAGAUGCAUAGCAAAGGAAAGGACAAUCGCUUCCUUUCACCAGAUGGCUAUCUGGGCUCACCUCGCAAAGGCAUGAGACGAAUCCGCCAACGCAGUAACAGUGAUAUAACUAUUAGUGAGCUGGAUGGGGACGGCAACGAGGGCUGGUCUUUCUCAGGGUGGACGCCCAUGCACCGUGAGUAUGGUAGCACUUCGUCCAUUGACAAACACGGUGUGUCUGGAGAAAGUUUCUUUGACAUGCUAAAGGGAUACCAGUCCUCCGAGGCCCCCGAUCAGCGAAGCCCAGCCCCCGAGAGGCUAACUGAACUUCUGACUGUGGCCCCCAUAAAACAGGCUGCACUUGACCUGCCAGACGGUCCAGCCAGAGGUAGUCCUGCCAGUCGGCUGAAGGAACGAGAGAAGCACUUAAAGAGGAGGUCUAAGUCCGAGACAGGUGGAGAGUCUAUAUUCCGUAAGCUGCGUAGUGUGAAGGUGGAGGGUGACACAUCAAGGGCUGGCUCCGAUGCUGAAGAUGGGGGGAAGGCAGACGAAAGUGGCCCGCCCCCAAAACCCUGGGUGUGCCAAAAAGGCUUUGCCCAUUUUGACAUUCAGUCUCUACUCUUUGACCUCAAUGAGGCAAUCCAAAGUCGGCAGUCUGGGGCCAAGCGCAAGAACACCACGACCGGUGCUUCGGCUGCCGCCGCCGCCUCUGCUUCCGCCACGUCCUCCCUCUCCUCCAAUCAAAGCGGUGCAUACGGUUCACCCUGUGGCUCACAGGAGGAGCUGAGCAAGGAGGGGGCAGGACACGGUACCAACCCUGCCUUAGACCCCGGUGACGACAAGAGCAACGACCUGGUGCUGAGCUGUCCUUGUUUCAGGAAUGAGAUUGGUGGAGAGGGCGAGAGGAACAUCACUCCAGUUAAACCGCAGGGCAGCAUAGGCAGUGGUGGAAACUCAAGCAGUUCGUCUGGCAGUACAGAAGAAGGACCUCUGGAUGCCAUCCUCAAUACUCAUUUUACCAAUGCUGGGGUAGCCGUGCUGGAAGCUCCCAAGGACGGGCCAAGUCAGCAUGCCGACCGGUCCAAACGAUACAUUGUGGAACACGUUGACCUUGGCGCCUAUUACUACAGGAAAUACUUCUACCUCAGAGAACACUGGAACUAUCUGGGUGUAGAUGAGAACCUGGGUCCAGUGGCAGUGAGUCUCAGGAGGGAGAAGCUGGAAGAACACAAGGAGCACGGCCAACAGUACAACUUCAGGGUCAUCUUCAGAACGAGUGAGCUUAAUACUCUGAGAGGUUCCAUCCUGGAAGACGUGGUACCUUCCACGUCCAAGCACGGCCUGGCUCGGGGCCUGCCCCUCAAAGAGGUGCUGGAGUACCUGGUGCCCGAGCUAAACGUCCACUGCCUGCGGCUGGCACUCAACACGCCGAAGGUCACGGAGCAGCUGAUGAAGCUGGACGAGCAGGGGCUUAGUUUCCAGCGGAAGGUGGGGGUGAUGUACUGCAUGGCGGGCCAGAGCAGCGAGGAGGAGAUGUACAACAACGAGUCCGCCGGUCCCGCACUGGAGGAGUUCCUCCAUCUGCUGGGGGAGAGGGUCAGGCUCAAAGGCUUCACCAAAUACCGAGCUCAGCUGGACACCAAGACUGACUCGACAGGCACACACUCCCUGUACACCACUUACAAGGACUAUGAGAUCAUGUUCCAUGUGUCGACCAUGCUGCCCUACACUCCCAACAACAAACAACAGUUACUGCGGAAACGCCACAUUGGGAACGACAUCGUCACGAUUGUGUUCCAAGAGCCCGGCGCUCUUCCCUUCACGCCCAAAAACAUCCGCUCCCAUUUCCAGCACGUCUUUGUGAUCGUGCGAGCCCACAAUCCCUGUUCGGACAACAGCUCCUACAGUGUGGCGGUCACUCGUUCCAAAGACGUGCCGUCCUUCGGCCCCCCGAUCCCAGAAGGCGUCACCUUCCCCAAGUCCUCAGUGUUCCGGGACUUCCUGCUCGCCAAGGUCAUAAAUGCAGAAAACGCCGCUCACAAGUCGCACAAGUUCCGUGCCAUGGCCACGCGGACGCGCCAGGAGUACCUGCGCGACCUGGCCGAGCGCCACACCACCAGCACGCCCAUCGAUCCCUCCGGAAAGUUCCCCUUCAUCUCGCUGGCUCACAAGAAAAAGGAGAAGAGUCGGCCGUACGCGGGCGCCGAACUGCGCAGCCCCGGGGCGGUGACCUGGCUGGUCCACGCCGAGGAUCAUGGGAGCGGGGGAGAACUUGAGGCUCUCCUGGCCUUCUCCAAUGACUUUCUCAUCCUGUUGGACCAAGACGCCAAGGCUGUGGUGUUCAACUGCGCCACGAAGGACGUGAUCGGCUGGAUGCUGAGCAGCCCGGCGUCUUUGCGGAUUUUCUACGAGCGCGGGGAGAGUCUGUCCCUGAGGAGCGUCAGCAAUAACACGGAGGAUUUUAAAGAAGUGGUCAAACGUCUGGAGCUGCUGACCAAAGGCUGUGAAACAUCGGAGAUGACGCUUCGCCGAAAUGGCCUCGGGCAGCUCGGCUUCCACGUGAACUAUGAAGGCAUCGUGGCUGAGGUGGAGCCGUACGGCUACGCCUGGCAGGCGGGACUGAGGCAGGGGAGCCGAUUGGUCGAAAUCUGCAAAGUCGCCGUGGCAACGCUGACCCACGAGCAGAUGAUCGACCUUCUCCGAACGUCGGUGACCGUGCGCGUCGUUAUCAUCCCGCCACACGACGACGCCACUCCGCGCAGAGGCUGCUCGGAGCUCUAUCGCAUGCCCAUGUCCGAGUACAAGAGCAGCAGCAGCGACAGCGGCUCCUUCGAGUACAAGUUCCCCUUCCGUAGCAACAACAACAAGUGGCAGAGGACGUCCAGCAGCCCGCAGCAGUCGCUGACCGCCUCGCCGCAGCCGCACACGCCCAACCGCGCCAUCAGCCUGGGCAGCUCUGUGGGGAAGACGCUGUCCGCCGAGAGGCUGGAGAGGGGAGCGGUCAUCCCGCGCAGCGUCAGCAGUGACGGACGACCCCUGGACCCCAAAAGGAUGUCUCCAGGCACCGAAAGCUAUAGCCUGGUCUCCUCCCUGGCACUGGGACGCUCUCCGCACAAUCGGAGCUCUCCGAGCAACUUGUCUUGUUCCAGUGACGCCUCCGGAAGCUCUGCUCACUGGAGACAGAAGUCCAUGCCUGAACAGUUUGCUGGUCCCCGUCAUUCUCCCAUGUCGACGGAGAGGAGAGAGGAGGGCGGCUCCAGCGGAAAGUCCACUCCCAACUGGUCAAGAAUGGAGGAAGGUGGAGGAGGAGGAGGAGGAGGAGGAGGAGAACGGGGUUCGACCGAGACUCCGGUUUCCAAGUCUGGUCAAGGUUACUCUGGAGCUCCUCGCAUCCAGAGGCAAGAGCAGGUCAUCCACAUUUCCCCGAAGAAGGGAAGCCAGUCGGACGGCCCUUACUCCGGCCACUCCAGCAGUAACACUCUGUCCAGCACGGCCUCGAGCGGCGCACACAGCGACAGUGACAAAUGGUAUGAGAUGGGAGCGGGCGGAGGCUCCAGCGGCGACCCGGGCGACCCUGAACCCAACGGCCUGGGCGGAGGAGGCUACCUGCAGGGGGCGUCCGCCGACAGCGGCAUCGACACCAGCUCGUACGGCGCCUCGCACCACUCCCACCCGCACUCUCACCACGGCAGCACCACCUCCCUGCUGGCGCCCAGCGGGAGCAGGGAGAGCAGGGAGAGGUCAGCCUCUCCGUGGCACAGCCCCACCGAGGGAGGCCGCAGGAUGCUGGAGAGGUCGCCCGCCGCUGCCGAGUCCCCUGGCCCUCCAGGAGAGCGGAGCCUGGAAGGCACCGGGCGCAGCCCACCGACUCAUCUCCUCAUCAGAGAUAGCAGCACUUUCAGUCUGAGUGAUGCCGGAUCACACUCGAGUUCCAGGCACUCGGCUCACAGUUCCCCCAGAGAGGAGUCCUCGUCCUCGGCCACCUCCCCGUCGUCCCAGUCCUCGGUGUCUCCCGGGCCCAAGAGCUUCUACCCGCGUCAGGGAGCUCAGUCCAAGUACCUGAUUGGCUGGAGGAAGCCCGGCUCCACCAUCAAUUCUGUCGACUUUGGCGACACACGCAAGAAGUCUCCAGGCGAGGGUGGACUGGACGUGAUUCCGACCCCUGCAGCCAGGCCCUCUCUGCGGGAUAUGCACUUGCCCCAGCCUCAUGCUAAAUCUAUUAUGGAGGAAGAUGUGAAGAGGCACGCCACUCCAGACAGCCCCCCACCGCCACGCAGACACAAGGACAAGCAUCAUGUCCAGAAGUCACCACCGAGCCAGCCUCUCAGUCGCCGCCGCUCCCUCCACCGCACGCUGUCGGACGAGAGCAUCUACCGCGGGCAACGCCUCCCGUCGCUGUGCGACUCCGUGAUCGAGCCGGCGCUCGGUUCCGACGUUCUCUUCAGCUGCUCCACCCUCCCGCGCUCGCCCACCACCCGCGGUGUUCCUCUCCGACGACCCUCGUACAAGCUCGGCGUCAAGCUUCACGGUGACCUUUCAGCGUCCGACACGUCACUGGUGGAUCUGGUGGAGCGUCACCGUGGACCCCUCCCACAGGAGCUGAUGCCCCUCCCAUCCGGAGACAGGGACAGCCCCCUGGAGUGGACACACCUGGUGGACGUGGCCAGCACCUUCGAGAGUGAACGAAACACACACUACGUCCAGAGGAGUUAUGUGUUUGGGGAUUCAAACCAUCGGAGCAGCGGCGCGUCCAGCCCGCAGCAGCCUCACAUAGAGCUGCAGCCUGCUCCACUGUCUCGACCCUCGUCCAGUGAGGGCCACAUAGGGCUGGAGAGGAAGGUGACUAAACUGGAGGCCAUCGUGAAGAUGCUCCAGGAAGACUUGAAGAAGGAGCGUGAGGAAAAGGUGCGUCUUCAGGCUCAGAUCAAGAGGCUGUGGGAGGACAACCAGCGGCUGCAGGAGGAGUCCCAGACCUCUGCCGCCAAACUCAAGAAGUUCACAGAGUGGGUCUUCAACACCAUCGACAUGAACUGACACACUUAUCUCUCUCACACACACACGCACACGCACACGCACACGCACACGACUUCUCACAUCAACACACACACACACACACAGUCUGGACGGAGACACGGAGGUGGUCAACGCUAUUAGCUUCAUUUAGCUUGAUGCUAAAAAAUCUCCCACCUCCACUUCCAUUGGCCUUUUUUUUCCACACAUGAAGGAGUUUUUAUAGCCAACCCAGUCUCAGUUUCCAGCCGUCGACUCUGUUUAUCUUCUCAGGAUGAGGCCCGAGUUUAUGAAGGACUGACCUCUGUCCUCCUGUGGGACCACGAGAGUGUUGCUGAAUUGACCUUUUUCUCUCAUCUCCGCUGUGCCAAAUGUGAUUUUUUCCUUUUUUGUGUGUGUGUGUGCAAAAUUACAAAUGAAAAAAGGCCCUCCUCCUCCUCCUCCUCCUCAAUUUUGCCUCUUCCAGUUGACAUGAUUCUCAUUUUAAGGCGACCUUGCUCUGAACGGUGACUGGCGUGUGUUUGUGUCCAAAUCAAAGUAAACCCACGGCAGCCGAGGGAAGCUGAGGUUUGCAGGUGACGGCGGUUGGAGGAAGUUCCCCCCUGAAAAAAGCCACGCAGAGUCAAGACAGACAUGCAGUCGCUGAUCAGAGCAGAGCAGGCUGGACGUUGUGUGUCAGUGGUCAGUGAACG